This is a long non-coding RNA of Nicotiana attenuata, 568 nucleotides long. RefSeq lists it as uncharacterized. The record is from RefSeq and is a predicted model, not a curated record. Lineage: Eukaryota; Viridiplantae; Streptophyta; Magnoliopsida; Solanales; Solanaceae. The transcript has 2 exons.
AGAAAUUUGAUUGGACACAAAAUUAAAAAAAGAAUUAAACAUUUUUGAAACUGAUGUCUAAAAUAAUUCAUACGCAUUUAUGUGGCUCUAUAUCAUCUCGUAAAAUAAGAACUUUAAAAUAAAAUAAUUUCUAAAUAUAGUAAGUGUGCAUUGAAACAAAAUGAGAAAUAUACACGACCAUUCAAGCUGAAGAUAGUGAAGUUGGUGAAGCCCACCGGAGACUCGCCGGAAUUUCGCCGGAGAAGUGAUUGUAAGAGAGAUUGAGCUCAAACAGGUUCGAGAUGUUUCUCUGUACGCCGCCGGAGAACAAAUUUGCCGGUGAUUUGUCCAUAUAGCUGGUUGCCGGAACCAUAAAAGAUUUGUCAAGUUCGAGAUUUCCGGCUGAAUUUAGCCGGAAAAUCCACCUUUCUUUCAAUCUCAUUUCUUUCUUAAGGUUUCACUUUGUCAAUUAUCAAAUUCCAACCAAAUAAACUCUGAAUGGAUAAUUUAGGAUUUGAAAUUUGGUAAAUUUGUUCCAUCAUAUUAGUGACUAUGAAAUGAUUUACCAGUAGGUAAUUUUGAUCCCUGA